AUGGUCACACUCACACUCUUCUUUUCUUCUUUUUU
This 35-nucleotide small RNA is filed under the name Arabidopsis thaliana (thale cress). RNAcentral describes it as "ATSL007660". The record is from RNAcentral. Lineage: Eukaryota; Viridiplantae; Streptophyta; Magnoliopsida; Brassicales; Brassicaceae.